GAUGAACGCUGACAGAAUGCUUAACACAUGCAAGUCCACUUGAAUUUGGGUUUUUAACUUAGGUUUGGGUGGCGGACGGGUGAGUAACGCGUAAAGAACUUGCCUCACAGCUAGGGACAACAUUUGGAAACGAAUGCUAAUACCUAAUAUUAUGAUAAUAGGGCAUCCUAUAAUUAUGAAAGCUAUAAGCGCUGUGAGAGAGCUUUGCGUCCCAUUAGCUAGUUGGAGAGGUAACGGCUCACCAAGGCGAUGAUGGGUAGCCGGCCUGAGAGGGUGAUCGGCCACAAGGGGAAGGAGACACGGCCCUUACUCCUACGGGAGGCAGCAGUGGGGAAUAUUGGACAAUGGACCGAGAGUCUGAUCCAGCAAUUCUGUGUGCACGAUGAAGUUUUUCGGAAUGUAAAGUGCUUUCAGUUGGGAAGAAACAAAUGACGGUACCAACAGAAGAAGUGACGGCUAAAUACGUG
This 467-nucleotide ribosomal RNA is filed under the name uncultured bacterium. RNAcentral's name for it is "partial 16S ribosomal RNA". It matches the Rfam family "Bacterial small subunit ribosomal RNA", at positions 28 to 507 of the family's 1533-position model. The record is from RNAcentral.